This 1429-nucleotide ribosomal RNA is filed under the name Dickeya zeae. Its description in RNAcentral is "bacterial SSU rRNA". The record is from RNAcentral. Lineage: Bacteria; Pseudomonadati; Pseudomonadota; Gammaproteobacteria; Enterobacterales; Pectobacteriaceae.
GGCGGCCUACACAUGCAAGUCGAGCGGUAGCACAAAGGAGCUUGCUCCUUGGGUGACGAGCGGCGGACGGGUGAGUAAUGUCUGGGAAACUGCCUGAUGGAGGGGGAUAACUACUGGAAACGGUAGCUAAUACCGCAUAACGUCGCAAGACCAAAGAGGGGGACCUUCGGGCCUCUUGCCAUCGGAUGUGCCCAGAUGGGAUUAGCUAGUAGGUGAGGUAAAGGCUCACCUAGGCGACGAUCCCUAGCUGGUCUGAGAGGAUGACCAGCCACACUGGAACUGAGACACGGUCCAGACUCCUACGGGAGGCAGCAGUGGGGAAUAUUGCACAAUGGGCGCAAGCCUGAUGCAGCCAUGCCGCGUGUGUGAAGAAGGCCUUCGGGUUGUAAAGCACUUUCAGCGGGGAGGAAGGGAGCAGRCUUAAUACGUCUGUUCAUUGACGUUACCCGCAGAAGAAGCACCGGCUAACUCCGUGCCAGCAGCCGCGGUAAUACGGAGGGUGCAAGCGUUAAUCGGAAUGACUGGGCGUAAAGCGCACGCAGGCGGUCUGUUAAGUUGGAUGUGAAAUCCCCGGGCUUAACCUGGGAACUGCAUUCAAAACUGACAGGCUAGAGUCUCGUAGAGGGGGGUAGAAUUCCAGGUGUAGCGGUGAAAUGCGUAGAGAUCUGGAGGAAUACCGGUGGCGAAGGCGGCCCCCUGGACGAAGACUGACGCUCAGGUGCGAAAGCGUGGGGAGCAAACAGGAUUAGAUACCCUGGUAGUCCACGCUGUAAACGAUGUCGAUUUGGAGGUUGUGGUCUUGAACCGUGGCUUCCGGAGCUAACGCGUUAAAUCGACCGCCUGGGGAGUACGGCCGCAAGGUUAAAACUCAAAUGAAUUGACGGGGGCCCGCACAAGCGGUGGAGCAUGUGGUUUAAUUCGAUGCAACGCGAAGAACCUUACCUACUCUUGACAUCCAGAGAAGACUGCAGAGAUGCGGUUGUGCCUUCGGGAGCUCUGAGACAGGUGCUGCAUGGCUGUCGUCAGCUCGUGUUGUGAAAUGUUGGGUUAAGUCCCGCAACGAGCGCAACCCUUAUCCUUUGUUGCCAGCACUUCGGGUGGGAACUCAAGGGAGACUGCCGGUGAUAAACCGGAGGAAGGUGGGGAUGACGUCAAGUCAUCAUGGCCCUUACGAGUAGGGCUACACACGUGCUACAAUGGCGUAUACAAAGAGAAGCGACCUCGCGAGAGCAAGCGGACCUCAUAAAGUACGUCGUAGUCCGGAUUGGAGUCUGCAACUCGACUCCAUGAAGUCGGAAUCGCUAGUAAUCGUAGAUCAGAAUGCUACGGUGAAUACGUUCCCGGGCCUUGUACACACCGCCCGUCACACCAUGGGAGUGGGUUGCAAAAGAAGUAGGUAGCUUAACCUUCGGGAGGGCGCUUACCACUU